AUACUCACCUGGCAGGAGAGAUACCAUGAUUGAGCAAGUGGUCUUCCCAGCACAUCCAUUGCACUUCGAAUGCGCUGACCCCUGUGAUUUCCCCAAUUGUGGGAAAGUCGACUGCAUAAUUUGUGGUAGUGGGGGACUGUGUUUGCACUCUCCCCUG
Small nuclear RNA from Phyllostomus discolor (pale spear-nosed bat), 157 nucleotides. RefSeq annotates it as U1 spliceosomal RNA. The transcript has a single exon. The record is from RefSeq and is a predicted model, not a curated record. NCBI's taxonomy places the organism in Eukaryota, Metazoa, Chordata, Mammalia, Chiroptera, Phyllostomidae.